Molecule: ribosomal RNA, 436 nt
Filed under: uncultured bacterium
Lineage: Bacteria
Description: bacterial SSU rRNA
Rfam family: Bacterial small subunit ribosomal RNA
Source: RNAcentral
GAUGAACGCUAGCGGCAGGCUUAAUACAUGCAAGUCGAGGGCUCAGCAAUGGGACCGGCGCACGGGUGCGUAACACGUAUGCAACCUGCCUGUAUCUGGGGGAUAGCCCGAGGAAACUCGGAUUAAUACCGCAUACCACUGAGGGUCGGCAUCGAUUUUCAGUGAAAGAUUUAUCGGAUACAGAUGGGCAUGCGCAGGAUUAGCUAGUUGGUAAGGUAACGGCUUACCAUGGCAACGAUAGGUAGGGGUCCUGAGAGGGAGAUCCCCCACACUGGUACUGAGACACGGACCAGACUCCUACGGGAGGCAGCAGUGAGGAAUAUUGGACAAUGGGCGCAAGCCUGAUCCAGCCAUGCCGCGUGCAGGAAGAAGCAUCUAUGGUGUGUAAACUGCUUUUANACAGGAAGAACCCUACCACGUGUGGUAGAUUGACGGU